GUCGUGGGUUCGAACCACGGUAACUAACUAUCUCACAGUAGCAUGGCCCCUGCACUAAGGAUGACACGCUCAAUCAAAGAGAAGCUACCAAUUUUU
RNAcentral lists this small nuclear RNA (96 nucleotides) under Colletotrichum graminicola M1.001. Lineage: Eukaryota; Fungi; Ascomycota; Sordariomycetes; Glomerellales; Glomerellaceae. The record is from RNAcentral.